Molecule: ribosomal RNA, 253 nt
Filed under: uncultured bacterium
Lineage: Bacteria
Description: partial 16S ribosomal RNA
Rfam family: Bacterial small subunit ribosomal RNA
Source: RNAcentral
UACGUAGGGGGCAAGCGUUGUCCGGAUUCAUUGGGCGUAAAGGGCGCGUAGGCGGGAUGGCAAGUCGGUCGUGAAAUCCCUCGGCUCAACUGAGGAUCGUCGAUCGAUACUGCCGUUCUUGAGGAUUGCAGAGGAGACUGGAAUUCCCGGUGUAGCGGUGAAAUGUGUAGAGAUCGGGAGGAACACCGGUGGCGAAGGCGGGUCUCUGGGCAAUUCCUGACGCUGAGGCGCGAAAGCGUGGGGAGCAAACGGG